UUGGGUGGAUCAUUGUUCUUUGUCCAACUGUAAGGACGGUCUGAUUGAUGCGAUUAUGGGGUCUACAGCAAUAACCAUUUCAAAUAAUUACAUGACACAUCAUGAUAAAGUUAUGCUCUUGGGACAUAGUGAUACAUAUACUCAAGAUAAAAACAUGCAAGUAACUAUAGCUUUUAAUCACUUUGGUGAAGGUCUUGUCCAAAG
Molecule: unclassified non-coding RNA, 204 nt
Filed under: Hevea brasiliensis (rubber tree)
Lineage: Eukaryota; Viridiplantae; Streptophyta; Magnoliopsida; Malpighiales; Euphorbiaceae
Source: RNAcentral